ACUGUCCUUUAAUUGGAGAAAACUCCCCACGCGCCCCGCGGGCGCGGCAAAAAGGAGGUGCGACAGUGAUUGAUGAUUACGAAUCUGAAUCAGACCUCGACCCUAAUGAUGUCAGGAUGUUUGAGGAGGGCCUUACUCACUCAGUGGUUCGUGCGAGAGGCUCAGCCUGUAUCCUUGAGAUCCCUUCAGAUGUCAAUCUCUUGGGGGACACGGAGGAUCUGGUGUCGCAAUUCAGCAUGCAAUGCUCUGCACCCAAGAAUGCGGCCCUUCGGUCCGUUCAUGAUGCUGAUUUGAUGGAUGAGUGAUGUAUAUGGUGGAAGUGGAAAGCAUUCGCAGGGCCAAGAUUUUCUUGAAGAUGUUGGAGAAAUAUCGUCGCUACCGCGACAAGUGUCGCGGGAUGCAUGAGCGGAUGAAGGCAAACCCCGGUAAUCGGGCUCUUGGUGAGGAGUUGGAGAAAAGGGACCUGGAAUUGAUGCAAGCUAUCCGCAACAGGAGUGUACUUGAGGAGCAACUUUGAAUAAAGGACGAGGAGCUCGAGUUGGUCAAGGGGGUCGCCGUAGAAUGCGAGCAUCUGCAGGAGAUAUUGAGGUCAAUGUAGUCGGAGAUGGAUCAGAACUUGAUCAAGGUCCACUACUAGAAUUCCUG
Non-coding RNA from Nicotiana tabacum (common tobacco), 645 nucleotides. The record is from RefSeq and is a predicted model, not a curated record. Lineage: Eukaryota; Viridiplantae; Streptophyta; Magnoliopsida; Solanales; Solanaceae.